CCUACGGGAGGCUGCAGUGGGGAAUAUUGGACAAUGGGGGGAACCCUGAUCCAGCCAUGCCGCGUGUGUGAAGAAGGCCCUCGGGUUGUAAAGCACUUUCAGUGAGGAAGAACGCCUGGUGGUUAAUACCCAUCAGGAAAGACAUCACUCACAGAAGAAGCACCGGCUAACUCCGUGCCAGCAGCCGCGGUAAUACGGAGGGUGCGGGCGUUAAUCGGAAUUACUGGGCGUAAAGCGCGCGUAGGUGGCUUGAUAAGCCGGUUGUGAAAGCCCCGGGCUCAACCUGGGAACGGCAUCCGGAACUGUCAAGCUAGAGUGCAGGAGAGGAAGGUAGAAUUCCCGGUGUAGCGGUGAAAUGCGUAGAGAUCGGGAGGAAUACCAGUGGCGAAGGCGGCCUUCUGGACUGACACUGACACUGAGGUGCGAAAGCGUGGGUAGCAAACAGGAUUAGAUACCCCUGUAGUC
RNAcentral lists this ribosomal RNA (465 nucleotides) under Vreelandella stevensii. RNAcentral describes it as "partial 16S ribosomal RNA". It matches the Rfam family "Bacterial small subunit ribosomal RNA", at positions 338 to 795 of the family's 1533-position model. The record is from RNAcentral. Lineage: Bacteria; Pseudomonadati; Pseudomonadota; Gammaproteobacteria; Oceanospirillales; Halomonadaceae.